RNAcentral lists this ribosomal RNA (468 nucleotides) under uncultured bacterium. RNAcentral describes it as "partial 16S ribosomal RNA". It matches the Rfam family "Bacterial small subunit ribosomal RNA", at positions 28 to 507 of the family's 1533-position model. The record is from RNAcentral.
GACGAACGCUGGCGGCGUGCUUAACACAUGCAAGUCGAACGGAAAGGCCCUGCUUUUGUGGGGUGCUCGAGUGGCGAACGGGUGAGUAACACGUGAGUAACCUGCCCUUGACUUUGGGAUAACUUCAGGAAACUGGGGCUAAUACCGGAUAGGAGCUCCUGCUGCAUGGUGGGGGUUGGAAAGUUUCGGCGGUUGGGGAUGGACUCGCGGCUUAUCAGCUUGCUGGUGGGGUAGUGGCUUACCAAGGCUUUGACGGGUAGCCGGCCUGAGAGGGUGACCGGGCACAUUGGGACUGAGAUACGGACCAGACUCCUACGGGAGGCAGCAGUGGGGAAUAUUGCACAAUGAGCGGAAGCCUGAUGCAGCAACGCCGCGUGCGGGAUGACGGCCUUCGGGUUGUAAACCGCUUUCGCCUGUGACGAAGCGUGAGUGACGGUAAUGGGUGAAGAAGCACCGGCUAACUACGUG